AAACCAAUAAAGUUUUCUUUAUUGGGGUUGCGGACAUAUCAUAACGAAGAGGUAUCGUAAUUGAAGAGGUUUGGAAAGACCCACCACAGAAGGUAAUAGUCCUGUAUGUUAAACGAGAAAACUUUAGGUAUGAUCCAGAGUACCACGGGACACGUGAAACCCUGUGGGAAGCAGGAGGGACCACCCUCCAAGGCUAAAUACUACCUAGUGACCGAUAGCGUAUAGUACCGUGAGGGAAAGGUGAAAA
RNAcentral lists this ribosomal RNA (247 nucleotides) under Clostridioides difficile. RNAcentral describes it as "partial 23S ribosomal RNA". It matches the Rfam family "Bacterial large subunit ribosomal RNA", at positions 271 to 520 of the family's 2925-position model. Lineage: Bacteria; Bacillati; Bacillota; Clostridia; Peptostreptococcales; Peptostreptococcaceae. The record is from RNAcentral.